UUCAUCAGUUGGUCUUAAUCUUUCUAGCCUAUCGGUUGUUUUGGUUGGGUUUUGCUCACUUUUUAGGUUUGUAUGCUUUGACUUGUUAUAGUUUUUGGGUUUCUCGAGUUUCCUAUCCGUCUUGCUUUUUUUUUUUACUUUUUGUGGAGCCUUUGUAUUUGGUUGUUUCAUGUUCUUCCCUUUCCAUCCCUCUAUAAGCCUAAAGUUAGGUUUUUUUUUGCUAUUAAAAAGAGGAUUCUAAGUUAGAAUUGCAGGGGUAUUGAGCAACAAAUUACCAUUCAAGAUUUAAGAGAAUUAAAUAGAAAAUAUACACCUCAAAUCAUAUUUCUC
This 330-nucleotide long non-coding RNA is filed under the name Gossypium raimondii (Peruvian cotton). Its description in RNAcentral is "long non-coding RNA (GRAI_LNC007693)". Lineage: Eukaryota; Viridiplantae; Streptophyta; Magnoliopsida; Malvales; Malvaceae. The record is from RNAcentral.